This 145-nucleotide unclassified non-coding RNA is filed under the name uncultured fungus. RNAcentral describes it as "sequence contains ITS2". Lineage: Eukaryota; Fungi. The record is from RNAcentral.
AUACCCUCAAGCUCUGCUUGGUGUUGGAGGCCGCCCCAGUGGGGCGCCCCCGAAAGUUAGCGGCGACGUAGCCGGCUCCCUGGCGUAGUGACUGCUGUCGCCCUGGGGUCGGUCGUGCGUCUGCCGGACAACAACCAAUCUAUGA